AGCGCGGCUGAGCGGCCCCGCAGCCAAUCCCGGAGGAGCGGCCGGCUGGCGUCCGCCGCGCCCAGGAGUUGGGGAUGUCCUACAAACCCAUCGCUCCUGCCCCCAGCAGCACCCCUGGCUCCAGUACCCCUGGGCCGGGCACCCCGAUCCCUACAGGAAGCGUCCUGUCGCCGUCGGGCUCAGUGCCAGGAGCCGCCGCUCCUUUUAGACCGCUGUUUAACGACUUUGGACCGCCUUCCAUGGGCUACGUGCAGGCUACGUGCAGGCGAUGAAGCCACCCGGCGCCCAGGGCUCCCAGAGCACCUACACGGACCUGCUGUCAGUCAUAGAGGAGAUGGGCAAAGAGAUCCGGCCCACCUAUGCUGGCAGCAAGAGCGCCAUGGAGCGCCUGAAGAGAGGUAUCAUCCAUGCUCGGGCCCUAGUCAGAGAGUGCCUGGCAGAGACACAGCGGAACGCCCGCACGUAACAGGAAGCGCCUCGGCCUCAGCGUCUGGACCUUUCCCGGCCACUGCAGAGCACCCGCUUCUCCCUGGCCUUCAUCCCGAGUUGCAUUAACCAUCCUGGGCUUCCUGUCCUGUGUCCCUUGGUGGGUCCCCUCCAGGAACCAAGGAGCGGCUCUCACUCCAGGUGGCAGCACUAAGGACAUCCCCCCACAACUCAGUGAGUCCCCAUGAGUCCCACCCAUGACCUGCCAACAGUGUUGCCCCCCGGAACUUUCUGUGGUCCCCACCGCUCAGCCCUUCCCAGCCCUUCUCCCACUUUGUCCCGAGCCUCCUUCUCCCCCAGCAGGGGCUCAGGCCUGGCACCUCACUGCCUUGUGUCCUGAGCCGUAGUGACUCUUUU
RNA transcript from Cercocebus atys (sooty mangabey), 843 nucleotides. It is a transcript of the gene named cyclin-dependent kinase 2-associated protein 2 pseudogene, with no coding region annotated. NCBI's taxonomy places the organism in Eukaryota, Metazoa, Chordata, Mammalia, Primates, Cercopithecidae. The transcript has a single exon. The record is from RefSeq and is a predicted model, not a curated record.